RNAcentral lists this unclassified non-coding RNA (336 nucleotides) under soil metagenome. RNAcentral's name for it is "partial contains 5.8S ribosomal RNA, internal transcribed spacer 2, and large subunit ribosomal RNA". The stretch from base 1 to 120 matches the Rfam family "5.8S ribosomal RNA", at positions 35 to 154 of the family's 154-position model. The record is from RNAcentral.
GAUGAAGAACGUAGCGAAAUGCGAUAAGUAAUGUGAAUUGCAGAAUUCAGUGAAUCAUCGAAUCUUUGAACGCACAUCGCGCCCGCCAGUAUUCUGGCGGGCAUGCCUGUUCGAGCGUCAUUUCAACCAUCAAGCCCCCGGCUUGUGUUGGGGACCUGCGGCUGCCGCAGGCCCUGAAAAGCAGUGGCGGGCUCGCUGUCACACCGAGCGUAGUAGCAUACAUCUCGCUCUGGGCGUGCUGCGGGUUCCGGCCGUUAAACCACCUUCAUAACCCAAGGUUGACCUCGGAUCAGGUAGGAAGACCCGCUGAACUUAAGCAUAUCAAUAAGCGGAGGA